GCGACGCCAAACGAACUCAGUCCCCUGCAGAGUCGGUGCCUUCGGGGCUCCUCCGCGGAGCACUCCCACCCUCAAGAAGAACAUGGAGUGAGGUGUGUCUAAUGAACUGGCAAGAGGUGAGGGUAAAAGGAUCCGGAAGCCUUGGGUGGCGUCUCUACCAGAGGCUCUUGUUACCAUUCAGGGGCAGACCAAGACUGAGGCUGAGGGGAUUCUUCUGUCUGGAAGAAUAACCAGGAGCACCCUGAAUUUGGAAGUCUCUAAAUGAGAAUUAAUGAUAAACGGCCAUGACCAUGGUGCAGGAGACUGCUUAAGAAGGGCUGGAGAUUCUGAAUAGCCCGUCUAGAGGCGUGAACAAACCCUGCAACGUGUGUGCAAAUCUGAAAUAUCUCCUGAUGCACAGAGGAACUCCCCACCCUCUCCCCCACCAGGUCAUACAAGGGAGAAAAAAAAAUGAAAUGCUUUAUCAGGGAAACUGAAAUAUUUCCCUUUUUCUGCAAGUUUCCACAAACCCUAAGAUGGAUUUAUAAGUCAGAGAGUAACAUUUUAUUUUAUUUUUUAAAAUUCAUUAUGCUUUGCACAUGAAGAGUCCUUGAAGAUCCAUUGAAAUGGACUAAUUAUUGUGAGUCUAUUGUGGGCGAGACAAGAAUGUAGGUUGUGCAGAGGGAAUUGAAUCACACCAGUCCAAUGAUCUAUGUGAACAUUUGUGAACAUUUAUAGUCCAAAUUGGCUACUCCUUCUGGUAAACAGUACUCUCCUUGUUCCUGGAAUUGGUAAGCAGGGUUUCUCUUUUGGACUCCACCAGUUCUUAAGAGGUUGUGUUAAGGAUCCAAUGAUCAAGAAGUUUGAAAUUCAAUAUAUGUCAUUCCUAAUUUUUUUCAGAAAUGUCAUUUAAUUUCUAAAUGACAUCUUUCUAACGGUUUAGAAAAUAAGAAAUAUUGUGAAAAUAUUUAACUUAAAAGACUAUUAGUUAAAAACAACACAUUUUUUUGUGAGGAUCACACCCAAUAUUCUCAGGGUUUACCCCUGGCUCAGUACUCUGUACUGAUAACUCCUGGAAGUGCUCAGGGGACUACAUAGGAUGCUGGGGGGACAGGGCCCUACCUGCUAUACUAUAGCUCCAACCCAAGAAUAAGUUUUUUAAAAAAACUGAUUUGGGGGAGUGGGAAAAGUGUUUAGGCUAUACUUGUCUAUACCCACAAGCUAUUCCUGACUCUGUGCUCAAGAGUGACCCUGGCUGUGCUUGGGGCAAAAUAUGUGCUUCUGAGUAUUGAACUAAGGUUGAUGGGAUGGAUGGAAGGCAAGUACCUUACCCCUGUACUAUCUCUCUGGCCUCAAGACUGAAGAGAAAUGAAAACUGUGUCUACAUAAAAACUUUUACACAAAUGUUCACGGAAGCUGAUUUAUAAUAGCUAAAAAGGGUGAGAUGAUCAGAGUUCUUAUCAAUAAAUGAAAAGAUAAACAAUAUAUGGUGUCAUAUAUAUAUAAAAUACAAUAUUUGCUGGCAAUAUAAAAGAAGGACAUAUCGAUGCCAGCUACAACAUUUUGAACUUCAAAAUGUUAUGCUAACUAAAAGCAGCUGAUAGUGAAGAAACAUGUAUAGUAUGAAUCAAUUAUAUGAAAUUUCUAUUAUGGGUAAAACUACAGAAACAGAGAAUCAACUAGUGGUUGCCUUUGGCUGGAGGUCAGAAUGAGGGCAAUAGUAUAGAGGAAUGGUUUCUUUUUGGUGUAAUGAAAACAUUCUAAAAUUAAUUAUAGUGAAAAACUGUGAAUGUGCCCAAAUCAUCAAAUUGUGUAGUUUUUAAUGGGUGAAUUGUAUGACAUGAAGAUUAUAUCUCAAUAAAUCUGUUAAGUUAAAAAAAUAAAACUUUAAAAAUA
Molecule: long non-coding RNA, 1875 nt
Organism: Sorex araneus (European shrew)
Lineage: Eukaryota; Metazoa; Chordata; Mammalia; Eulipotyphla; Soricidae
Exons: 4
Source: RefSeq, a predicted model, not a curated record